Molecule: ribosomal RNA, 253 nt
Filed under: uncultured bacterium
Lineage: Bacteria
Description: partial 16S ribosomal RNA
Rfam family: Bacterial small subunit ribosomal RNA
Source: RNAcentral
UGACGUAGGUGGUCAAGCGUUGUCCGGAAGUUAUUGGGACGUAAAGCGCGCGCAGGCGGUUCCAUUUAAGGUCUGAUGUGAAAGCCCACGGCUCCAACCGUGGAGGGUCAUUGGAAACUGGAGGACUUGAGUACAGAAGAGGGAAAGCGGAAUCCACGUGUAGCGGUGAAAUGCGUAGAGAUGUGGAGGAACACCAGUGGCGAAGGCGGCUUCGUGGUCUGUAACUGACGCUGAGGCGCGAAGCGUGGGGAGC